Molecule: ribosomal RNA, 432 nt
Filed under: uncultured bacterium
Lineage: Bacteria
Description: bacterial SSU rRNA
Rfam family: Bacterial small subunit ribosomal RNA
Source: RNAcentral
CGCGAAGAACCUUACCAAGGCUUGACAUGGCGAUGACCGAUUCAGAGAUGAGUCUUUUUCUUUUGAAACAUCGUCACAGGUGGUGCAUGGUUGUCGUCAGCUCGUGUCGUGAGAUGUUGGGUUAAGUCCCGCAACGAGCGCAACCCUUAUCCUUAGUUACCAGCAGUAAGAUGGGGACUCUAAGGAGACUGCCGGUGAUAAACCGGAGGAAGGUGGGGAUGACGUCAAAUCAUCAUGCCCUUUAUGUCUUGGGCUACACACGUGCUACAAUGGUCGGAAACAAAGUGCAGCAACCUCGCAAGAGCUAGCGAAUCACAAAAAGCCGAUCUCAGUUCGGAUUGUAGGCUGCAACUCGCCUACAUGAAGUCGGAGUUGCUAGUAAUCGCGAAUCAGCAUGUCGCGGUGAAUGCGUUCCCGGGUCUUGUACACACC